This 496-nucleotide ribosomal RNA is filed under the name uncultured bacterium. RNAcentral describes it as "partial 16S ribosomal RNA". It matches the Rfam family "Bacterial small subunit ribosomal RNA", at positions 28 to 507 of the family's 1533-position model. The record is from RNAcentral.
GACGAACGCUGGCGGCGUGCCUAAUACAUGCAAGUCGAACGGACAAAGAGGAGCUUGCUCCUCGAUGUUAGCGGCGGACGGGUGAGUAACACGUGGGCAACCUGCCUGUAAGACUGGGAUAACUUCGGGAAACCGGAGCUAAUACCGGAUAAUGCUUUUGAACUCAUGUUCGAAAGCUGAAAGAUGGUUUCGGCUAUCACUUACAGAUGGGCCCGCGGCGCAUUAGCUAGUUGGUGAGGUAACGGCUCACCAAGGCAACGAUGCGUAGCCGACCUGGGAGGGUGAUCGGCCACACUGGGACUGAGACACGGCCCAGACCCCUACGGGAGGCAGCAGUAGGGAAUCUUCUGCAAUGGACGAAAGUCUGACGGAGCAACGCCGCGUGAGUGAUGAAGGUUUUCGGAUCGUAAAACUCUGUUGUUAGGGAAGAACAAGUACCGGAGUAACUGCCGGUACCUUGACGGUACCUAACCAGAAAGCCACGGCUAACUACGUG